UAAAAAACGUCGCGAAAUGCUCGCGAAAAAAAUUUUCGUUUCCAUUUCGUAAGCGGUACGCAGCUCUCGCGAAAACGAUAACGAAAAAAGCAGUUAGCCGAGACACGGUUCGACAAACGAUAAGUUUCAUAAUACUUCCGCGAGAUAGCGCUGCUUUCUAUGCGCUGUCACCAAGGCAAACUUUUUCCUUGCGAAAUAAUGGUCAAUGGUAUUAUUUCGCACGGAGGCUCGCGAAAUUUUGACAGGUUGCAUUGAAAAAAUAUAAAAAAACAAAAGAUUAGUAAUUUUUUGUAUUUUUUUUUUUUCAUCGCGACCUGUCAAAAUUUCGUAGUUUUGAGAAUCAAUAUUUUGAAUUUGAAUGAAAAGUUUUGAAAUAUUAUUGGAAUUGUGAUUGUUUCUAGUAAUUAUUAUUUACAGCACACCCGAACAAAGCAGCCACAAGAGCAUUUUUCGUCACCAGCCAUCUAUCUACUUGAUAAGUUUUCAACAACAACAACCAGGUGCUACAAAUCAGCUCAACUUGACUCAACAUCCUGGAUCUGGCAAUCAGCCAACCAACAUUAAAUCGAUACAACCGUAGCAGUACCAACAACUCCAAAUCCAGCAGCUGCCAACAAUCUCUCAAAAAAGAACCACAGCAAUUACAGCUCAGAACCAACAAAGCAACAAGAGCUUUUUUACGAAUAAUGGACCCAUCGGAAACACUUUAUCGGCACAUUCUGUCGUAAAACUUGCCUGCCACUAUUCUUACCAGCGGUUACCUUCCUGAUGUAGAGAAAUCAGAGUCAAACACAAACGUCAUAUUACUGCCUUGGCUCCUACCAGUUGCUUGCAUGAAAAUAUCGCUGCCUCCACAGUGCUCGUGAUUUCAUCCCAGCAGCAGCUAGCAACCACAAUUCCAGUGCUUAUCGCCAGCAACAUCAGAAAAUUAAGAUUUCCCCCAGACCAUGACCAUCAUCCGACAGAUAGGUAGCAACGUUCAACUGACGGUACAACCUGGCCAGCAACCGCAAGUAGUGCAAUCGAUCCAAGCCAAUCAGGGCCAAAUGUAGAAGACCAUUGGUCAACUGCAAAAAAAAGAUACAUCAACAGCACCUUCAAACACAGUAGCAGCAGCAUACUGUACUGUACCACGCCGCGUGCAGGACUUUUUUUAUUCAGUUGGUGCAGCAAGAUCGAACAGCAACCAUAGCGGAUACACAUCACCGAACACCAGCAACAUAAUGCCAUGGUAACCACCCAGCAGCAGAACACGGCGAUAAUGGGCCAACAGUAAAUACAACAUCAAGAUCCUCGGAAAGGACUUUCUCUUUCGAACAAACAUAAUGGAAGCAUACUCUACACGCGCGACAUAUUCAAUCGGGCCAACCGUGUGACUCGUUUGGCAAAAAGGGCUCAUCAUCGGUUUCAUGGCAGCGAAGUGAGCAGACAAAAGAAGGCGUUUUUUUCCGAAUGGUCGCUCUGGGCAAAAGUUCAGCUAAUUGCAAGGAACAAACCACCGGAGUGACAGUAUCCGUGCUGAUUCAGGACCUUUUUCCAUAUAUUGUAGCUUUUGAAUUUUAAUUCCCGGUCGAAACGAUGGCAAGUGCUGCCGAUAACUGGGUCAAAAAGGCGGAAGGAGGAUCAGGAAAUUUCUGCACUCGGUUUUGAAUUUUUCUUUUCAAUACAAAUAGGUUGUCGAUUUGAGUAUCCCUAAGGAUAAGGAACCAGAGCCGACGGCUGACAGCCCAAAGAAAGAAAAUGCGGAAAAACCUUCUAGUUCACCGCCAGUAGAACCAGCGAUCAAAUUACUCCGGUAGAAACGGCUGCACCUGCAGUUUUGUUUUCGGUAGCUACAGAAAUUAAGACUUUAGCAGCUCCUGAAGAAAAAAAAGCUGCUAGCGAAAAUGGAGAAACAGCUUCCUCCACGGAAGAUGCAGAGGCAUUCAACCCGGCGGAUGCAAGUUUGCUAAUUAAACUUAUUCGCAAAGGUCUAGUAGAAUCAAAGCUGGAUCUGGGGGUGAAGGAUCCUUCUUCGCCGCUAUACUUGGUUAAAACUUUCGAAGCUUUGCACAUGAAUUCGGAACUGCUUCUAUGCUAUGGGUUUCAACGCUCCUUCCAAGAUUCAGAAGACGGAUCAACCUACUCUGUUGGCCGAUCCACCACAGAACAUAAUCGCCCAGAGUUGGUCGGGAACAAGAAAAACCACUGCCUUCGUGCUGGCAAUGCUCAAUCGAGAUUCAGUUGCUAGACGCGGAGAACUCGGACGAAAUUUAAAAGAUCGCACCGUAAAAUGUUUUCGACCAGCUACUGGUGAAAGGCGUAGGAGCUUUUUUGGGUCAUACUUGUUUUGAUUCUGAAUUUAUAAUUUUAUUAUAUUUUAAUUUUUUUUUUCUUCCUUGACCUGACAUAAGGUAUACAAAUGUAACCAACAGGGUAUCGUAAGCUAAUAAAUUUACAAUUACAAUUACAAUUUAUCUCUACCCAGUUCUAUCCAAACAUUUGAAAAGGGCCUAACUGCAAAAUGUAACAAAUUGAAAUUUCAUGUUUUCCAUUAACGAAUAUCUACCCGAGCACGUACAUAACGCAACAUUUGAUUAUGAAGAAUUUUGAUAGCGAUUUUACAACAAUUUAUAAAAGGGCCUAAUUGAUUUUUAUGACCGAACUGAUUAUGAAAGGACCUAGCUGAUUGAAAAGUGCCUAACUAGCAAUACACUCGUUUUAAAUGGAUUAUAACGUAUUAUUGUAUUAUGACUGAUUGUAAAAGGCUUAUAACAUCUUUUCCAUAAUUUACAUACAGGGCCAAUCUGAUUUUAUGAUGUUCAGUGGGGUCAAUCUGACCAUCAAUUUAGAAUUCAGUUAAUUCGUCUAACUUUCGGUGUAAUAUCAGACUUGAACAGCAUUUUUUGUGUGAGGUAUUCUGCCACUAGAAGCAAAACUGUCCCAUGUGCUAUGGGAAUCCCUAUACACAUGGGACAAUUAUACUUCUUGCGGCAGUAAUACAAGUACUAGCAAUAUGCGCAAUUCCUUAAACCUCUCUAGUGUUUCAUGCAAUAAGAAUUACCACGAAUUACUUAUGGCAAUAAAUUUGAAUUACGAUUCUCACAAUUGUUAUACCAAAAAUAGGUUUGUAUCCGUACUGAUUUUUGGUAGCAUUCCCUGAGACUUCCAGAACCUUUAGUAGUAGCACAGAUAACAGACGUUUAGGCUCGAUUUGAAUCGUGUGUAAAUACCCGCUGCUGAAAUUCCGAAUAAAUCAGACAUCUGAAACAUGUUUGGCAAACGUUUGCAGAUGGCGCAGUGAUCACUACAAUGCAGUUAGAACACGUGUAGCAACAAUGCUGUCGAACACGUGUAGCAAACAGUUGCGCAGAUGGCAAUAGUGAAACACGGAUUUUCAACGUAUAUCAAUUUGAAAGUUUACACAGGUUUUUGAAGAAAUUUUGUUCUAGCCUAAACGUCUGUUAUCUGUGGUAGUAGCCAUUGUUAUCAUAAUCGAUUUUUAACGUCAGCCAGAGUUUAAAGCCUAGGGUUUGGUUCGACCUGAAACCGAUUGAGUCGGAGUCGGUUGUUAUAUUUGCGUUAUAUUUCCGGAUUCCGAAACGUGUUUCGAAAGGUAGUUUCCCCGAGACUUGUGAAAGCGGUAAAGGCGGCCAAGGCAAUCAGAUUUGCUUCUUAAUGGUCAAACGCCGAUUUAGAGCUACGAUUCGGACAAUUACAAUAGAUUUGGUUUGAGCGAAUUUCGAUCAUUUCCCUGGGUCUUCUAGAACCGGUAGAAGCAGCCAAUUUAGAUAGAAAAUGGCCAGCCAAUGAUUUAAAUUUCCGAUUGCAGGAAUUGUGCAGUCUAAAUUGGUCAGACUGAACUUCCCCGAAACAUCCGGAACCGUCACAAAUAAGCAUUAUGAUUAAUCAUGCUCGAAAUAUGAUUCACGCUGAGUACGUCACUUCCCUGAGAGCUUCAUGAAUGGCAAAAAGGUUUACAAUUGUUACCGAUUUCAUACACAU
Long non-coding RNA from Topomyia yanbarensis, 3984 nucleotides. RefSeq lists it as uncharacterized. NCBI's taxonomy places the organism in Eukaryota, Metazoa, Arthropoda, Insecta, Diptera, Culicidae. The transcript is spliced from 5 exons. The record is from RefSeq and is a predicted model, not a curated record.